This 207-nucleotide long non-coding RNA is filed under the name Lathyrus oleraceus (garden pea). Its description in RNAcentral is "Pisum sativum (pea) long non-coding RNA (PSAT_LNC015397)". Lineage: Eukaryota; Viridiplantae; Streptophyta; Magnoliopsida; Fabales; Fabaceae. The record is from RNAcentral.
AAAUAUUUUUGUAUUUUUUGAAUAUCAAAAACUAUUUAAAAUGAAUUAAAAAUGACCAGAAAAGAGAAAAUUAUUAAAAAAUAGAAAAUGGUAAAAUAAAAAAUAUUAAAAAUCAUUUUUAGAAACUAGAAAUUAAAAGAGAAAUAAUGCAAUUGAUCCCAUAUUUUUUGGACCAAUAAUAGAAGAGAUAUGGAUUUUAGAAAUAAA